RNAcentral lists this ribosomal RNA (536 nucleotides) under Scinax juncae. RNAcentral's name for it is "partial large subunit ribosomal RNA". It matches the Rfam family "Bacterial large subunit ribosomal RNA", at positions 1861 to 2603 of the family's 2925-position model. Lineage: Eukaryota; Metazoa; Chordata; Amphibia; Anura; Hylidae. The record is from RNAcentral.
GCCCAGUGACAUGUUCAACGGCCGCGGUAUCCUAACCGUGCGAAGGUAGCGUAAUCACUUGUUCUUUAAAUGGGGACUAGUAUGAAUGGCAUCACGAGGGUUAUACUGUCUCCUUUUUCUAAUCAGUGAAACUAAUCUCCCCGUGAAGAGGCGGGGAUAAAACUAUAAGACGAGAAGACCCUAUGGAGCUUUAAACUCACCUUCAAGUGCUGGCUCCUUUCUACCCAUUUACAAUCAUCCAACCACCAUGAAGACAAGUUUUAGGUUGGGGUGACCGCGGAGCACAAAAAAACCUCCGCAUUGAACUAGGCCUCAAAACCUUGAACAAAGGGCCACGACCCUAUGUACCAAAAAAUUUUCAUCCAUUGACCCAUUUUUAUGACCAAUGAACCAAGUUACCCUAGGGAUAACAGCGCAAUCUGCUCCAAGAGUCCAUAUCGACGAGCGGGUUUACGACCUCGAUGUUGGAUCAGGGUGUCCCAGUGGUGCAGCCGCUACUAAUGGUUCGUUUGUUCAACGAUUAAAACCCUACGUGA